This 448-nucleotide ribosomal RNA is filed under the name uncultured bacterium. RNAcentral describes it as "partial 16S ribosomal RNA". It matches the Rfam family "Bacterial small subunit ribosomal RNA", at positions 329 to 793 of the family's 1533-position model. The record is from RNAcentral.
CCCCAGACUCCUACGGGAGGCAGCAGUGGGGAAUAUUGGGCAAUGGGCGCAAGCCUGACCCAGCAACGCCGCGUGAAGGAUGAAGGUUUUCGGAUUGUAAACUUCUGUCGCGAGGGACGAAGAAUGACGGUACCUCGUAAGAAAGCCCCGGCUAACUACGUGCCAGCAGCCGCGGUAAUACGUAGGUGGCAAGCGUUGUCCGGAUUUACUGGGUGUAAAGGGCGUGCAGCCGGGAAGACAAGUCAGAUGUGAAAUCCCGCGGCUCAACCGCGGAACUGCAUUUGAAACUGUUUUUCUUGAGUACCGGAGAGGUCAUCGGAAUUCCUUGUGUAGCGGUGAAAUGCGUAGAUAUAAGGAAGAACACCAGUGGCGAAGGCGGAUGACUGGACGGCAACUGACGGUGAGGCGCGAAAGCGUGGGGAGCAAACAGGAUUAGAUACCCCCGUAC